UACGUAGGGGGCAAGCGUUAUCCAGAUUUACUGGGCGUAAAGGGCGCGUAGGCGGCCCGCUAAGUCGAACGUGAAAUCCCCGAGCUCAACUCGGGAACUGCGUCCGAUACUGGCGGGCUUGAAUCCGGGAGAGGGAUGCGGAAUUCCAGGUGUAGCGGUGAAAUGCGUAGAUAUCUGGAGGAACACCGGUGGCGAAGGCGGCAUCCUGGACCGGCAUUGACGCUGAGGCGCGAAAGCUAGGGGAGCAAACGGG
RNAcentral lists this ribosomal RNA (253 nucleotides) under uncultured bacterium. RNAcentral's name for it is "partial 16S ribosomal RNA". It matches the Rfam family "Bacterial small subunit ribosomal RNA", at positions 524 to 776 of the family's 1533-position model. The record is from RNAcentral.